RNAcentral lists this ribosomal RNA (253 nucleotides) under uncultured bacterium. RNAcentral describes it as "partial 16S ribosomal RNA". It matches the Rfam family "Bacterial small subunit ribosomal RNA", at positions 524 to 776 of the family's 1533-position model. The record is from RNAcentral.
UACGUAGGGGGCAAGCGUUGUCCGGAAUCAUUGGGCGUAAAGAGCGCGUAGGCGGCCCUGUAAGUCCGCUGUGAAAGUCAAGGGCUCAACCCUUGGAUGCCGGUGGAUACUGCAGGGCUAGAGUCCGGAAGAGGCGAGUGGAAUUCCUGGUGUAGCGGUGAAAUGCGCAGAUAUCAGGAGGAACACCGAUGGCGAAGGCAGCUCGCUGGGACGGUACUGACGCUGAGGCACGAAGGCCAGGGGAGCAAACGGG